Molecule: transfer RNA, 76 nt
Filed under: Bacillota bacterium
Lineage: Bacteria; Bacillati; Bacillota
Also listed under: 1 other name
Description: tRNA-Lys
Rfam family: tRNA
About the family: Transfer RNA (tRNA) molecules are approximately 80 nucleotides in length. Their secondary structure includes four short double-helical elements and three loops (D, anti-codon, and T loops). Further hydrogen bonds mediate the characteristic L-shaped molecular structure. tRNAs have two regions of fundamental functional importance: the anti-codon, which is responsible for specific mRNA codon recognition, and the 3' end, to which the tRNAs corresponding amino acid is attached (by aminoacyl-tRNA synthetases). tRNAs cope with the degeneracy of the genetic code in two manners: having more than one tRNA (with a specific anti-codon) for a particular amino acid; and 'wobble' base-pairing, i.e. permitting non-standard base-pairing at the 3rd anti-codon position.
Source: RNAcentral
GCGCCAUUAGCUCAGCUGGCAGAGCAACUGACUCUUAAUCAGUGGGUCCAAGGUUCGAAUCCUUGAUGGCGCACCA